CUGCAAACACAAUAAAAUUCGAGU
RNAcentral lists this non-coding RNA (24 nucleotides) under Arabidopsis thaliana (thale cress). Lineage: Eukaryota; Viridiplantae; Streptophyta; Magnoliopsida; Brassicales; Brassicaceae. The record is from RNAcentral.